This is a long non-coding RNA of Drosophila yakuba, 1887 nucleotides long. RefSeq lists it as uncharacterized. The transcript has 2 exons. NCBI's taxonomy places the organism in Eukaryota, Metazoa, Arthropoda, Insecta, Diptera, Drosophilidae. The record is from RefSeq and is a predicted model, not a curated record.
CUGUGUCAUAAACUUCAGUUGGAAACUCGAUAAAAGAGUCCACAACUUUUACAUUUUGGGCAAUUUAUAUAACGUUUUUUUUAUAACAAUAUAUUACAUACAAUUCACUCAAGUAAAAAUAAAGUUGAAAGCAGUUUCGUUUUAUUAUUAUGGAUUUAAGCUGUCAGUUUUACAAAUUGGUGUAAUAGUAAUUUAGUAGAUGGUUUUUGGACUUACUGAUUAGCCUCUUUUGUACAAAACCAACGUUGAAUUGUUAUUAAUCGCCACUUACAUAAGGCAGUUAGUAACUUCCGUUUCCCAACUAUUUUUCAAUAGUGGCCAGGAACUUUGUCAUCAGGUGCAUUUCCAAAGCAAGGGGAAACUUUUCGCCAAAGGGACCCAGAGCAUAAGAGAAUAGGAGAAUUGGAGAAGCUGAGAAAUGGAAGAAUGGAGAAAGAGAAGUCCAGGGAAUCGUUGACAGGAAGCAAACCGAAACGGCACCAACAAAUUACCCGACCCAUAACCACAGUGCAAUCAAUUGUAGUGGUCCAGCAGAACACACUCGCUCCAGUCGGAUUCGGAGGAGGCAGCCGAGAGCGAGGACGCAGUGCCUCCAAAAGCACUUUAUAUGCCGAGGUAAUGGCGCCUAAUAAACGUCUUCACUCGAGUGCGCUUGGCACCGCCCAGCCACCCCCCACCACCCCUUUGCACCACCCAACCAGAGAGGGGAGCAGCGGGGCAAGGACAGGGUGUGGGGAAGGUGGAGCCAGUAAUUAUGAUUUAUGUCGCUUUGGAGAAUGUGCAAGGCGUCUAAUUGUGUGGGCGGGCGUUGGCUACAAUUACGCCCAUCUCCAUCAUUUCCCCCCCUCUUCUGUUGGUCACCUUGUCCCCCGAAUAUGUCUGCUAUUAUGUCAAGCCAGCCGAAAAUAGUGGAAAUCCUACACGAAUGUCGGAUAAAGUAAUUACAGGAUGCUCAUUUCCCCCCGAGUUUCUGGGGGGCAAGCCCGCACCCACACACCAACACCAGCACUAAGACAGGACAGCACAGGACAGAACAGGACAGAACAGGACUGACAGGACGUGCGAGUGUGUCCUGAUGUAAUGCAUGCUAAUGCGACACCUUCACCUCUCUCUCUCUCUCUCACUCUAAUCCUUGAUCAUUAAAAUAAUUCAACUUGACCCGAGACUGGACCGGAUCAGGACCUGGGCGAACGAAAGGAUUCCUGGAAUUCUUUGGUGGCCGCAUAAUGCUAAUGAAUCGGUAUGCCUCCCAUUCCCACUCCUACUUCAACUCCCACUCCUAAUCUCACUCCUUUCACUGCCAUUUCGUAAUGCCACAAAGGAUUUUCCCUGCCGACGGCUGGGGACAAUUGAAAAAUCAGUAAACGAUGCCGCAUUGUCAACGCCACGUCCCUGUGGAGAAGUGGGCAGGAUUGGGGAAUCGUCAUUCCAUGAGUGGAGCAUCAUUCGCACUUAAUUAGUAGAAUGGCCGAUUUAAAAGUGGGCGUAGGGCGUUGGGCGUGGGGCGUGUCCAAUCAGCUGUGGAGCCUAAUUACAGCUUGGACUUUCACUACCAUUUCAAAUCGUACUCGGCCAGAUGCGGGCUCCAAAAACCAUCGAGUGUCCACCAGAUGGGAUAAACGAGAAUCGUAAAUGAAUGCAAAAUAGACAGGAAAAUCAUUCCACACUAAAACCAACUCCGAAGCUGUUUAGGGUUUCCUUUUGAAGAGUGAAAUUCUUUAUGCGAUUAGUACGGAAAUGACAUGAAAGGCACUGAAAGUGGUGUGUCCUUAAAAAGGAAAAGUUGGAAGGAUGAGAUUGAGACAGAAGAUGAGAAAAGGCAGGAGAGAUAAUAAGUAAUUCGGUUUCCUUUUUCGAACUGUUAAUAAAAAGUGAAUCCAAACCUCA